GUGAUUGGGACAUUAUAAAACUGGCCACAACUGAAUGCGGUGUAGUUAAGCUGUUAAGAAAUCAGCCUUUCCUAUCCAGCAAAACAGUUAAGUUAGAUGUUAAUGGAAAAACCAUUAAAAAACCCUAUUAUCCCAUGAAGAAAAAAAUGAAUGCACUCAAGCGGAAAAGGAAGACUUAUCGAUUAAUUUUCAGAUGAAGGUUUGUAAACUUAGCUUCAUGAAGUUGACUCUGGUUGCAGAUGCAAAGCGUACAAUAUUCGCAAAGUAAAACGAGAAAGAUGCCGUAGACUAACAACCAAGUAAGAGCUGUGCCA
This 314-nucleotide long non-coding RNA is filed under the name Calidris pygmaea (Spoon-billed sandpiper). RNAcentral's name for it is "lncRNA (ENSCPGG00000013520.1)". Lineage: Eukaryota; Metazoa; Chordata; Aves; Charadriiformes; Scolopacidae. The record is from RNAcentral.